Molecule: long non-coding RNA, 567 nt
Filed under: Homo sapiens (human)
Lineage: Eukaryota; Metazoa; Chordata; Mammalia; Primates; Hominidae
Description: long non-coding RNA NONHSAT195765.1
Source: RNAcentral
ACAGCCCGAAAAUGGCACAGAAAUGGUAUCAAGAAACCCCGAUCACAAAGAUACGAAUCUCUUAAGGGGGUGGACCCCAAGUUCCUGAGGAACAUGCGCUUUGCCAAGAAGCACAACAAAAAGGGCCUAAAGAAGAUGCAGGCCAACAAUGCCAAGGCCAUGAGUGCACGUGCCGAGGCUAUCAAGGCCCUCGUAAAGCCCAAGGAGGUUAAGCCCAAGAUCCCAAAGGGUGUCAGCCGCAAGCUCGAUCGACUUGCCUACAUUGCCCACCCCAAGCUUGGGAAGCGUGCUCGUGCCCGUAUUGCCAAGGGGCUCAGGCUGUGCCGGCCAAAGGCCAAGGCCAAGGCCAAGGCCAAGGAUCAAACCAAGGCCCAGGCUGCAGCCCCAGCUUCAGUUCCAGCUCAGGCUCCCAAACGUACCCAGGCCCCUACAAAGGCUUCAGAGUAGAUAUCUCUGCCAACAUGAGGACAGAAGGACUGGUGCGACCCCCCACCCCCGCCCCUGGGCUACCAUCUGCAUGGGGCUGGGGUCCUCCUGUGCUAUUUGUACAAAUAAACCUGAGGCAGG